RNAcentral lists this transfer RNA (74 nucleotides) under Chlorella sp. RNAcentral describes it as "tRNA-Asp". It matches the Rfam family "tRNA". From Rfam's summary of the family: Transfer RNA (tRNA) molecules are approximately 80 nucleotides in length. Their secondary structure includes four short double-helical elements and three loops (D, anti-codon, and T loops). Further hydrogen bonds mediate the characteristic L-shaped molecular structure. tRNAs have two regions of fundamental functional importance: the anti-codon, which is responsible for specific mRNA codon recognition, and the 3' end, to which the tRNAs corresponding amino acid is attached (by aminoacyl-tRNA synthetases). tRNAs cope with the degeneracy of the genetic code in two manners: having more than one tRNA (with a specific anti-codon) for a particular amino acid; and 'wobble' base-pairing, i.e. permitting non-standard base-pairing at the 3rd anti-codon position. The record is from RNAcentral. RNAcentral also lists the same sequence under 1 other name. Lineage: Eukaryota; Viridiplantae; Chlorophyta; Trebouxiophyceae; Chlorellales; Chlorellaceae.
GGGGAUGUGGCGCAAUUGGUCAGCGUACCACCCUGUCACGGUGGAAGUUGCGGGUUCGAGUCCCGUCAUCCUCG